UACGUAGGGUGCAAGCGUUGUCCGGAAUUAUUGGGCGUAAAGAGCGCGCAGGCGGUAUGACAAGUCAGAUGUGAAAGAGGCCGGCUUAACCGGCAAGGGUCAUUUGAAACUGUCAGACUAGAGUGCAGCAGAGGAUAGUGGAAUUCCCGGUGUAGUGGUGAAAUGCGCAGAUAUCAGGAGGAACACCGAUGGCGAAGGCAGCUCGCUGGGACGGUACUGACGCUGAGGCGCGAAAGCGUGGGGAGCAAACAGG
This 253-nucleotide ribosomal RNA is filed under the name uncultured bacterium. Its description in RNAcentral is "partial 16S ribosomal RNA". It matches the Rfam family "Bacterial small subunit ribosomal RNA", at positions 524 to 776 of the family's 1533-position model. The record is from RNAcentral.